GUGUGACCUAGUAAGACGGGCCUUAUGGCGUGUUCAAGCAGUAGAAUAUCACUCCUUGCAGCAAGGAUUACUUUUACAAAGACUGCUGGCCAGUCUUUUGCCAGGAACCAACAAUGUUAUUUCUGCAGUGGAGCACCAGACCAUGGGAAAACAACACCAUUAAGAAAAACCACAAAAUUAAAGACAAUGCUG
Lingula anatina is the source of this 192-nucleotide long non-coding RNA. The record is from RefSeq and is a predicted model, not a curated record. Lineage: Eukaryota; Metazoa; Brachiopoda; Lingulata; Lingulida; Lingulidae.